Entelurus aequoreus (snake pipefish) is the source of this 642-nucleotide long non-coding RNA. RefSeq lists it as uncharacterized. The transcript has 5 exons. The record is from RefSeq and is a predicted model, not a curated record. Lineage: Eukaryota; Metazoa; Chordata; Actinopteri; Syngnathiformes; Syngnathidae.
UUAUGUCCGGUAUGCAAUUAUCGGUGAACAUAUAAUACGUGGAUGAUGUCACUUCCGCCAAGUCACUUCCUGUUGGUUGACUUCCGGUAUUCGUCCGAAAGCAAGUCGUACAAGUUGCUGUCCUCUGUAAUCAUAUCUGUUGCCAUCCUACACAAAGCAACACCAGCAGCAUGUGUACUUGACCCGAGUGCCUCGCUGGGAGAGAUUUGCCAGUGGAGCCCCCACCGGCACGACACCUUCCCUCAGAAAGGGUGGUCCUAAAGACGUAGGCAUUUUCCGGAGGUACCAAGAAGAUCACACACAACAAAAGAGGAGCGAGGGAGAAAAAGCUGUUUCCAGCCAAGCUGUUCUCAUUCUUCUUCGCUUCCGGUCCAGUGGAAGAGUUGAUGAAGUUUAAAUGAAGCAGAAUCAGGAGAUCAAGCGUACACGGGAGCUGGUGUGGAUGCUAUCCACCGGGGAGAGAACCAGGGAGGGGACAAGUGACCUGGAUGAAAUUGAGAGAAAGAAAAACCCGCGGAGGAGGAAAAAGGAGCAGGAGGCGAGAAAGGAGGAUGCUAUCACGUUACCUCAUGCUACAGAGGUUCGUCGAUGAUGGGUGUCCUUCGUCGCGCCGUCGAUCGCUGGAACCUUGAGAUGAAUGAG